This 430-nucleotide ribosomal RNA is filed under the name uncultured bacterium. Its description in RNAcentral is "partial 16S ribosomal RNA". It matches the Rfam family "Bacterial small subunit ribosomal RNA", at positions 354 to 796 of the family's 1533-position model. The record is from RNAcentral.
GUGGGGAAUAUUGCACAAUGGGCGAAAGCCUGAUGCAGCAACGCCGCGUGAGGGACGACGGCCUUCGGGUUGUAAACCUCUUUUAGUAGGGAAGAAGCGAAAGUGACGGUACCUGCAGAAAAAGCACCGGCUAACUACGUGCCAGCAGCCGCGGUAAUACGUAGGGUGCAAGCGUUAUCCGGAAUUAUUGGGCGUAAAGAGCUCGUAGGCGGUCUGUCGCGUCUGCUGUGAAAACUGGAGGCUCAACCUCCAGCCUGCAGUGGGUACGGGCAGACUAGAGGGAGGUGGGGGAGAUUGGAAUUCCUGGUGUAGCGGUGGAAUGCGCAGAUAUCAGGAGGAACACCGAUGGCGAAGGCAGAUCUCUGGGCCGUAACUGACGCUGAGGAGCGAAAGCGUGGGGAGCGAACAGGAUUAGAAACCCGUGUAGUCC